AAGCGCUUGCAACCAGACUUGCACGCUGUUGAUCAUCCAGGCUUCUGUUUGGUGCACUCAACUGUGUUCAGGCCAGCAUCGGUUUUGGUGGUGGGAUAAAGGCCUUGGGAAUGUAGCUUCUUUCGGGGAGUGUUAUAGCCCUCGGUGCAAUGCCGCCUACUGGGACCGAGGACCGCGCUUCGGCUAGGAUGCUGGCGUAAUGGUUGUAAGCGA
This 213-nucleotide ribosomal RNA is filed under the name Fontanospora fusiramosa. RNAcentral describes it as "partial large subunit ribosomal RNA". The record is from RNAcentral. Lineage: Eukaryota; Fungi; Ascomycota; Leotiomycetes; Helotiales; Discinellaceae.